Molecule: ribosomal RNA, 341 nt
Filed under: uncultured bacterium
Lineage: Bacteria
Description: bacterial SSU rRNA
Rfam family: Bacterial small subunit ribosomal RNA
Source: RNAcentral
AGAGUUUGAUUAUGGCUCAGGAUGAACGCUGGCGGCGUGCUUAACACAUGCAAGUCGAACGAAGCACUUUUACAGAUUUCUUCGGAAUGAAGUUUUAGUGACUGAGUGGCGGACGGGUGAGUAAUGCAUCGGAACGUGUCCUGUUGUGGGGGAUAACUGCUCGAAAGGGUGGCUAAUACCGCAUGAGACCUGAGGGUGAAAGCGGGGGAUCGCAAGACCUCGCGCAAUUGGAGCGGCCGAUGCCCGAUUAGCUAGUUGGUGAGGUAAAGGCUCACCAAGGCGACGAUCGGUAGCUGGUCUGAGAGGACGACCAGCCACACUGGGACUGAGACACGGCCCAG